Long non-coding RNA from Pseudophryne corroboree (corroboree frog), 764 nucleotides. RefSeq lists it as uncharacterized. The record is from RefSeq and is a predicted model, not a curated record. The transcript is spliced from 3 exons. NCBI's taxonomy places the organism in Eukaryota, Metazoa, Chordata, Amphibia, Anura, Myobatrachidae.
CGUAGAUACGAGGCUGAGAAAUGCAUCAAGAGUGACCCCUGUAGAAGUGGACACAAGCAUUUGGAAGCAGACCCAAUUUAUCCUUCCAUUGGUGAAGCACCUGUGUGGUAUCUGGGAUAGAGAUCAGUGCCCAGCCACCAGCCGCGAAUCCAGCUGCGGCUCCAAUUGGUGAAGAGCGGAGUGCCGGUGUAGCACAGACACCGGGAGGCGGGCCGUGGGAUCCCCAGCACAGGUGAGCGACUGUGUGCUGUGCGGGACGAAGAUGGACGCCUGGCGGGAGGUAUAACCACGGACGGUAUUGAUUGAGUGCCCAGCCGCUAAUUCAGCCGCCUAUCCUAAGUCGCCAACUGCAGCCGCAAACACUGGUUAUAUAGCGUGGAUAUCCAGCUGCUAAUUCAGCCACCUAUCCCAAGCUGCCGGCUGCAGCCGCUAACACUUUUUGUGUAGUGUGGAUCCCCAGUACAAGUGAAACAGCUGAGGACUGUAAGGAACGGGGACAGAGAUCGGGCAGUGCAGCUACGGACAGUGACGGCAUCCACAGAGCCACCCACCGGUGACAGGUGAUGUAACUUCAGGAUGAUGAUGGGCGGCUGCGACCGAAAGUGGAUGACCCGGAAGCUGGCGCGGCGUGCAUGGAUGGAUGGCUGUGGGGUCCGGAGGGGAUAGUCCUUCAAUUGGGGAUUUGAUCACGAGAAGAUGGAUAAUUCUGCAAAAUACCCUCUCACCAGAUUCACCCAAUAUAACAGCAUCACUCGUUAACUAAC